Molecule: ribosomal RNA, 497 nt
Filed under: uncultured bacterium
Lineage: Bacteria
Description: partial 16S ribosomal RNA
Rfam family: Bacterial small subunit ribosomal RNA
Source: RNAcentral
GAUGAACGCUGGCGGCGUGCCUAAUACAUGCAAGUCGAGCGAACAGACGAGGAGCUUGCUCCUCUGACGUUAGCGGCGGACGGGUGAGUAACACGUGGAUAACCUACCUAUAAGACUGGGAUAACUUCGGGAAACCGGAGCUAAUACCGGAUAAUAUAUUGAACCGCAUGGUUCAAUAGUGAAAGACGGUUUUGCUGUCACUUAUAGAUGGAUCCGCGCCGCAUUAGCUAGUUGGUAAGGUAACGGCUUACCAAGGCAACGAUGCGUAGCCGACCUGAGAGGGUGAAGGGCAGACGAGGAACUGAGACGCGGCACAGAGUCGGAGGGGAGGCGGCGAUGGGGAGGUUGAGGCAAAGGGCGGAAGACUGACAAAGCAGCGCGGCGGGAGAGAAGAAGGUAUUAGGAUGGAAAAACUCUGUUAUGAGGGAAAAAAAAAAGAGAUAGGAACCAAGCACGUCGUGACGGUACCUAAUAAGAAAGCCACGGCUAACUACGUG